AAAACGUGAGACGUACGUUGGGAGAGCAGAGCAGAAGGGUGAACGGAGAGGUGCUCUGGAAGCUGAACCAGGUUUUAAGAAACCAAGUUUCUAUUGACUGGAUUUACUCGAUACAUCUUAUGUUUUGACUUGUUAGCUGUGUGUAGUUAAUGACUGCAGAGGCACAGAUGUUGUUUUUUUUGUCUGAGUGAGAAAAAACGGAGAUUCUGUGUGAGCGGGUUCAAGCUAACCGCUAAAGCUAACCGCUAAAGCUAACGGCUAAGCUACGGUUGGCGAGCCUUGGGCUGAGUGGACUUUGAACUGGACAGACGGAGGUGCUUCUGGAUGAGGAGUUAACUGGAUGAGGAUUUAUCUGCCGCUCCUCUGACCGUUUCUUUUCCUGAGACAUUGGAUUAUUUGGCUGCUGACUUUUCAGACACCGAGCUGUGAACGCCACGAGGUGGAUUCUGCUAACGGCUAACUGUGAGUUUGCUGACCGGAGAUCAACGCCGCUGCGGGGAUUUCGUGGGCUGCUUCCUGUGAUCAUCGUAGGUUUUCUACUCUGCACCUGGACUACGGCGAACAGCUGGAGAUCGACACACAGAUACGUCUCCUGCAGUUGAUGUCUUAGCUGAGCAUUCCCCAGAUGGCAUUUCAACAAAGUGAAUCAGCAUCAAAACUGCACAGCAGAAAUGAGGAGGCUCAACCAAUGAGAGACGAGCUCUGUCUUUCGGGACUGGCAGGGCCCGACUGAUGUGGCCAAAAUCC
Molecule: long non-coding RNA, 747 nt
Organism: Amphiprion ocellaris (clown anemonefish)
Lineage: Eukaryota; Metazoa; Chordata; Actinopteri; Pomacentridae
Source: Ensembl